RNAcentral lists this ribosomal RNA (321 nucleotides) under Triticum aestivum (bread wheat). Its description in RNAcentral is "partial small subunit ribosomal RNA". The record is from RNAcentral. Lineage: Eukaryota; Viridiplantae; Streptophyta; Magnoliopsida; Poales; Poaceae.
AUGGCCCAGGGAGGCGAUGCCGCCGCGUGCCGCCGCAGUCUCCCCCUGCUGCCACUGCCACCGCGCCUCCUCCUCGUCGUCCUCGUCGCCAUGCUCACCGUGGCUUUGGUGGCGGCGCCGUCGGCGAGGGCGGCGUGGGUGGAGGACUACCCGUCGGGGGUGCCGUGCGGGGCGACGAUCCCGGUGGAGCAGUGCGACCCGGGGGACGCGGCGGCCAACAGCGCCUGCAUGGACGUGUGCCACUACGGCGGGUGCCGCCGCGGCGGCCGCUGCGUGUCGCUCGGCUUCGCCAGGGGCCGCGGCUGCCAUUGCAGGUGCUAG